UAGAGUUUGAUCAUGGCUCAGGAUGAACGCUGGCGGCGUGCUUAACACAUGCAAGUCGAACGGACUUAUAUUGAAACCUAGUGAAAUAUAAGUUAGUGGCGGACGGGUGAGUAACGCGUGGAUAACCUGCCGUAUACAGGGGGAUAACACUUAGAAAUAGGUGCUAAUACCGCAUAAGCGCACAGCUUCGCAUGAAGCAGUGUGAAAAACUGAGGUGGUAUACGAUGGUUCCGCGUCUGAUUAGCUAGUUGGUGGGGUAAUGGCCUACCAAGGCGACGAUCAGUAGCCGGCCUGAGAGGGUGAACGGCCACAUUGGGACUGAGACACGGCCCAAACUCCUACGGGAGGCAGCAGUGGGGAAUAUUGCACAAUGGGGGAAACCCUGAUGCAGCGACGCCGCGUGAGUGAAGAAGUAUUUCGGUAUGUAAAGCUCUAUCAGCAGGGAAGAAAAUGACGGUACCUGAUUAAGAAGCCCCGGCUAACUACGUGCCAGCAGCCGCGGUAAUACGUAGGGGGCAAGCGUUAUCCGGAUUUACUGGGUGUAAAGGGAGCGUAAACGGCAGCGCAAGUCUGAAGUGAAAUGCCGGGGCUUAACCCCGGAACUGCUUUGGAAACUGAGCAGCUAGAGUGCAGGAGAGGUAAGUGGAAUUCCUAGUGUAGCGGUGAAAUGCGUAGAUAUUAGGAGGAACACCAGUGGCGAAGGCGGCUUACUGGACUGUAACUGACGUUGAGGCUCGAAAGCGUGGGGAGCAAACAGGAUUAGAUACCCUGGUAGUCCACGCCGUAAACGAUGA
RNAcentral lists this ribosomal RNA (794 nucleotides) under uncultured bacterium. RNAcentral's name for it is "bacterial SSU rRNA". It matches the Rfam family "Bacterial small subunit ribosomal RNA", at positions 1 to 812 of the family's 1533-position model. The record is from RNAcentral.